RNAcentral lists this ribosomal RNA (253 nucleotides) under uncultured bacterium. RNAcentral describes it as "partial 16S ribosomal RNA". It matches the Rfam family "Bacterial small subunit ribosomal RNA", at positions 524 to 776 of the family's 1533-position model. The record is from RNAcentral.
UACGUAGGGUGCAAGCGUUGUCCGGAAUCAUUGGGCGUAAAGAGCGCGUAGGCGGCCCUGUAAGUCCGCUGUGAAAGUCAAGGGCUCAACCCUUGAAUGCCGGUGGAUACUGCAGGGCUAGAGUCCGGAAGAGGCGAGUGGAAUUCCUGGUGUAGCGGUGAAAUGCGCAGAUAUCAGGAGGAACACCGAUGGCGAAGGCAGCUCGCUGGGACGGUACUGACGCUGAGACGCGAAAGCGUGGGGAGCAAACAGG